GAAACACAAUCUGGCCGCCUAGAGGCUGCGUGAAGCUCGUGACCCUGCGGGGUGACUAACGGAGCUCAGCUGGGUGGGACCAGAAACCACGUCUGGGCACUCCUGAGUCACAGGCUCAGAAGCUUUCGCCUCCGCCUUCAGACUGGCCCUCAGGCUUCCCUGCUCAGAGGCAGGGAAUUGUGCAGCUGGAGUUUCAUUUUCCAAGAGGCAGGGUCUCAGUCUGUCACCCAGGCUGGAGUACAGUGGCACCAUCUUGGCUCACUCUAGCCUCGACCUCCUGGGCUCAAGUGAGCCUCCUACCUCAGUCUCCCAAAAUGCUGGGAUUACAAGCAUGAACCACUGUGACUUGCCUUCUUGGCAAUUUUAAAUGAAAGAAGAAGAUGGAAUAAUGCCUACUGAGGACUAUGUUUGAGGGGUGUUGUAUGACCCCGUUUUCCAUACCCAGCCAACUUGUCAUGUGACAAGUCCACAGAAAGAUGUUAUAUGACAGGAAUCUAUGAACUAGUCUUCCCUGAAAUGUACCUGACUACAGCUAACAUCAUAUCACAUGAUGAAAGACCGCGUUGUUUUCCCCUGAGGUUGGCAGAAUGACUGUCUACAUAGGAAUAGCUCCUCUGCAGAGACAUCUAGAAGAUGCUGAGAUAAUAUAUGUAAAAACUGACAAGCCCUUUGGGACAGAUACCAGCAAAUGCAAGGCGUAUGCUAUGGAAGUUUUAUCAUCCUAACAGAUAAGCCCGUCCCCAACUCCAGUGAGUGACUGAGAGACACGGGCAUGAACGCUGAGCUCAGAUGACAGCAUCUUUUCACAGCAGACCUGGGCCCAGCCCCUGGAAGCACACGAUGAUGAACUGUCCUCUGGUUUCCCAAGACUUCAAAAAUGAAACCCAGUGAUCAAGAGAUGUUUGGCUUUGAACACUGCGGGAAUUAAAGCCAGCACCCAGUUAAAGCCAGUGAGGACAGCACUCCAAGCUGCAGCUGUGGGUGAUUCGGAUGGUCUGUUGGUGGAAUGUGGAGCUGGACGGGUCAAGGAGCACAGUGUGGAAAGAGGGACAAUUUGCUACAAGUUGGAGAUAAGAGACAUGGCAUACUGUGAAACCAGUGCUGACGGAAGAAGGUGACUUUCUUGGAAGGUCAAGACACUUGCUUGACAGCGAUGUCCAGGAGGGCUAGGGAGAGUUCUGCUGGAAGUGAAGGCAGCACCUGAGGGUGGCUGAGGGAACUGGUCAGGGCUGGGAACGCCUCCAGCCCUUUGAGGAAUGAUUCGCUGAUUAAGAGAUGUUUGGCCUUGAAAAUUGCAAGAAUGAAAUCUCUUGGUGGGAAUGUGUAGCCAAAAGCCAGCACCCUGAGUGGCUCCAAGGUUUGGGGACCCUCUCAAGGCACAAAUCCCAGUUCCUUUUCAAUUUUGAAAAUCGUUGUGGGCGAUUCUGGAAUUGAGAAGUGUGCUGAGAGCCAUGGAUUUAACAUGACAAGAAUUUCCGCCCCUUCGUCACUGAGCACACCGCAAAUGCUCCAGGGCCAGGGACUUACUUGGGCUUCUGCGUGUCUUCCACAGUGUGCAUCAAUCCGCCGGGCUCUGGUUGGUGUUUAAAAAAAAAGAUGCAGCGAAGGAAUCUGGUGUGGACAAACGCCCUGGGCAUGGACCAAAAGCCUGGCCCUUGUGUCCCUGGCAAUGGGACGGUGAAGGACAGAAAGACAGCACAUCCAGUAGUGUCAGGAGCUUGGAGCAGGCAUUCGGAAGCAUCUGUUAAAUGUUAUUGAUGGAGGAUUGACAUAACCCACAUCUGCAUAGCUUUUUUGGUCUGUUUUUGGAAGUGAACAGUCACAAACAAAAACAACUUUGGUUCAGGUCAUUUAUAGGCCCAGAUCCUCUAUCCUUAGAGGUUUCCCACCAGAUAUACUAUUUCACUAUCUAUGCCAGGAAAGUUACGUAAAACCACGCAGAAUUUUACCUGACAACGAAAUAGACCUUUUCGUUAGAUCCUCCACCCCACCUAAAGCAGUUACACAGGCUGAAAUGAAACUGUUAAAGGAAUGAACUAACUUGGAGAUAGAAUCAUCGCCUUUGCUGAACACCAUUUUAAGAAUAUUGGAAUAUAUAGGGGUACCAGCAUAAUAGUAAAAUGUGCCCAUAUUAUCUAUAAUUUUAUGCUGGGCACUUUUUAGAAAUUAUUUUUUAUAACUUUGUCUUUGAGAUGAUUUGGCUACAAGUUCAUUACAUUUAGUUUACAACUGGCUUUGAUUUCUUGGCAUUCGUUGUGUAUUAUUAGGAAACCCCGCAGAGAGAAAAUGUAAACUCCAAAUUGCUUUAAAAUAUUAUGAUAGUUUUUAGGGAUAUUACACUGUGACAGUGAAUGAAAUGGACGUAACGUUCUGUUUUGUAGAUAUUUUGUGAAAUCUUUAUUAGUCUUGAUUUUCUUUGGAACAAGUCAUUCCUGUUCUGGGCUGAAGCCUGAAAAUUCCCUGACCUGUGACCCUGGCCCAAGGCUCCUCUUGGAUAAAACAGUGUUUCCUGGACCAGAGGGCAAAGUCACAGAAACAUGAUGUGACGAAAUCUAAAUAGAAAGGUAUUGAUUUGUUCUUCGUUCAUCAAAUAGUUAUUGGACUCCAGCACGUAUGAGUAGCAGGGAGCCUGGCUAGCACUACACCUUCCCCUCCUGCCUCUCAGGGUCAGGGCCACAGGCACACACAGAGCGAGGGAAAAUGAGGGGGUAGAGAGGCUGGUCCCGAGUCUCCAGCCCUUCUCUCCCAAUCCUCUCCCUGAGUGGGCAGGGAACUCUUCUCUUGGCUCCUCCAACUUCCAUCAACGUCUGCCCUUGGGUCUGGUUUUAAACUCUAAGGUGUAAAUGACUCAUAAUGGCUCAACAUUUUGUCCCUCCCAAGAGGUAUUUUUAAGUCUAAGGAAUAAAGAUUUAAUAGUAAAACUUCGAAUGCCAAUCAGGGGUAAGUGAGGAUUUGGAAGAGGAAGGUCUUGAGCAUUUUCCUAACACUGCUAAAAUCAUCCCAUUGAGUUAGGGCAGCAACUAUCCUGAUGGGCUGGGUAUGAUGGAAGUUAGUCAAUGUUUCAAUAGAUGGAUGGAUGGAUGGAUGGAUGGAUGGAUGGAUAGACUGACGGAUGGAUGGAUGGAUGGAUGGAUGGAUGGAUGGAUAGACGGAUGGAUGGAUGGAUGGAUGGAUGGAUGGAUGGAUGGAUAGAUGGAUGGAUACAUAGAUCACCUUUAUUCUGAUCUCAACUGGUCUUUGAAGCUUGAUUCAUUUUUUGAUUUCUCACGGAGCCAGACUAGGGUCUGACACAUUAGGAAGCUGGCAAAAGUUUGUUGACUAAACAAAUUAAUGAAGGGAAAAUUAUGUAUGCAGAGAUGCCUGGGGUUUGGGUUACCGUUUUGGGUCCCCUUUGAUUUGAGCGACACACAUGCUGACAACUUGAGUCUGAAGUUAGUGGAUCCUUAGCUAACUUGCUAGAGUAAAGGUUGUGGUAAAACUUGACCUUGCUCUAUUCAUCAACAGCAUAUCCUGUGAAAGUCACGACGCUUCCAUGAAAACCUUGGUGCUAGGCCUGUGAUAUCUUUGCAGAGGUCUGACCUAAGGAGACUGCUUGUGUCAAUAGUAACAACAAUCACAAUUGUCCUGAACACAAAGGCAGCAUUCUUUGUGUGCUAGCUGUGGUUUUAAGCAUAUUACGUCUAUUUACUAAUUUAAUCCUGAAACAGCCUUUGCUUUAGGUACUCCUAUUAACCUCAUUUUAUGGAUGGGAAAAUAGACUGUGAGAAGUGAAGUCACCCGCCCAAGGUCAUACACCUGUAAGUGGUGGAGGCAGGGUUUGAACCGAGCACACUGGCCUCACUUCGUGGGCUCCUACCACUACGCUGCCUCAUGUUACUACCCUGUAUCCACCUCCAGAAUGAGUUGGCAGCUGCAAGUUCUCCCCAAGGCCCCACUGCAGCCCUUGCAUCUCAGCAUCAGCUCCUUGCACGGCCAGGUGGUGUUGUUUCUGACUCGGGGUCUGCAUCUCUCUCUGCGCCGCUGGGUUCAGGAGGCCCUGAGGAGCGAGCCCGGUCCAGUGCUAGCUUCGCAGCUCACAGCCCUUGGGCAAAUGUUACAACUGGAGGGCUGCACAAAUGCAUCAUGUGGUUUCAAACCAUGCGUCUCUCUGAGCAGGAAUUGCUGGAAUGGGCCUCAGAAAGUUCCUGACCCUUUGUCUGGGGUCACAGGGUCUGUGUCCAGUGAGGCCUAGAGGCCACGUGAGGUCCAGAGAGAGAAGCACAAGGCAGCUGCUGAGGCCUCAUAGGAACCAUGCGGUGAAGGAACCAGGGUUUCUUCUUUCUCCAUGGCAACUAGGAGUGCAGGUCAGCCUCGGAAAAGGAUCCUCCAUCUUUGGUUAAAAGAACG
This 4386-nucleotide long non-coding RNA is filed under the name Homo sapiens (human). RNAcentral describes it as "HSALNT0273312". Lineage: Eukaryota; Metazoa; Chordata; Mammalia; Primates; Hominidae. The record is from RNAcentral.